AUUGAACGCUGGCGGCAGGCCUAACACAUGCAAGUCGAGCGGAUGAAGGGAGCUUGCUCCUGGAUUCAGCGGCGGACGGGUGAGUAAUGCCUAGGAAUCUGCCUGGUAGUGGGGGAUAACGUCCGGAAACGGGCGCUAAUACCGCAUACGUCCUGAGGGAGAAAGUGGGGGAUCUUCGGACCUCACGCUAUCAGAUGAGCCUAGGUCGGAUUAGCUAGUUGGUGGGGUAAAGGCCUACCAAGGCGACGAUCCGUAACUGGUCUGAGAGGAUGAUCAGUCACACUGGAACUGAGACACGGUCCAGACUCCUACGGGAGGCAGCAGUGGGGAAUAUUGGACAAUGGGCGAAAGCCUGAUCCAGCCAGGCCGCGUGUGUGAAGAAGGUCUUCGGAGUGUAAAGCACUUUAAGUUGGGAGGAAGGGCAGUAAGUUAAUACCUUGCUGUUUUGACGUUACCAACAGAAUAAGCACCGGCUAACUUCGUG
Molecule: ribosomal RNA, 484 nt
Filed under: uncultured bacterium
Lineage: Bacteria
Description: partial 16S ribosomal RNA
Rfam family: Bacterial small subunit ribosomal RNA
Source: RNAcentral